This 1249-nucleotide long non-coding RNA is filed under the name Ficedula albicollis (Collared flycatcher). RNAcentral's name for it is "lncRNA (ENSFALG00000023911.1)". Lineage: Eukaryota; Metazoa; Chordata; Aves; Passeriformes; Muscicapidae. The record is from RNAcentral.
AACAGAGAUAAUUUAUCUUUAUUAAUUCAUUGGAAGGAAAAAAUAGGUUUCGUUUUGGGACGGUAUAAAUAAUUACAAACAUGUUUGUGUAAAGUGUUACACUGGGACAGGGUUUCCCAAAAUAAGGAAUUUUGUGGAGAUGGCACAGAUUUGUUGUUCCAUUGUUCCCACUGUGAUAUCCUUUGGAUCUUUCCCUGGAAAUGGAACAGGAAAGGAUUUCAGGCUCUUUUCCCCAUGAAUUCCCAGCACAGCCCUGCUCUGCAGCAUGAAGAUGUUCAAGGACCAAAGAGACACAAAAAACCCCCGAAACCAAAAACCAGCACUAAAAAAAAAUUAUGAACUCCUAAAGCAGGUCCAUCUGCUGGCUCCUAAAAAGAAAUUUAUAUCCUUAGGAAAAGCCACUCGGGUUUCAAAGGACAUGAAGAUCAUUUAUGACUUCUUGCCUUUGAGUAAAAAGUGGUUUAUGGUGUCUUCCUCUUCCCACCUUUAGCUCGUUGUGGGAACGGGGCGACAGCUGAUAUUUACAGGAAUUAACGGGAUCAGGAAAGGAAUUGUUCUUGAUCCCUCCCUUGGAAAUUCGAUGGGAUUCACAGUAACUUAAUUGGAAAAGAGAGAAAUCAGAUCAGAAGAGAGCAGUUGACCUGUAAAACCACGGCGAUAAAAGAACCUCUUUUAUCAGAUGUCAUAAAAGAGAUGUUCUGAGGAGGAGCAACGCUGAGAUUCAGGGCAUGUUUUAUGUCCCUGCCUCUGCCAGAGCUCCCGGGGACCCAGGUCAAGACAUAAAGUUUGUGUUGCUCAGCCCCACAUGGAGCAGGACACGGACUGGAACAGCCCCCAGGGGUUUGCAAUUAAAGCAGAACAAAGAUUCUGCACUGAACAGACACAAACCCUUUUAUCAUCCCAACUCCGCUCCGGGGGAAUUCAUCCCUUACUCAACCAAAAUCUCCAUUUCAGCUCCACCUGUAAAAGAACGUUGGAAUCCUCAUUAUUCAAUUAGACAGAGACAGCAGCAAUAAAAUAUUCCUUUUUUUGCAGCAGAAGCUGAGUGAUAUUUCCUUGAAUACCUGCAGCCAUAUUCCCUAAUUGCUGCCUCAUAUAUCCUAACUGUAUUAUUCCUGAUUUCCAAGUGUAAAUAAAUGUACUGCUUGGGAUGAUCAUAUUUCACACCAAUUUAUUUGAAUGACAUUAAUGAGUUCUCUCCACCACUGAGACCUUGCUUGGAGAGCUGGGCUCUGUUUUCCUGCCUGUA